Molecule: ribosomal RNA, 253 nt
Filed under: uncultured bacterium
Lineage: Bacteria
Description: partial 16S ribosomal RNA
Rfam family: Bacterial small subunit ribosomal RNA
Source: RNAcentral
UACAGAGGGUGCGAGCGUUGUCCGGAAUCGCUGGGCGUAAAGGGCGCGUAGGUGGCGACCCAAGUCGAUGGUGAAAGCUCGCCGCUCAACGGCGAGUCGGCCACCGAUACUGGGUUGCUGGAGCACUGUAGAGGCUCAUGGAAUUCCGGGUGUAGCGGUGGAAUGCGUAGAGAUCCGGAAGAACACCGGUGGCGAAGGCGGUGAGCUGGGCAGUUGCUGACACUGAGGCGCGACAGCGUGGGGAGCAAACAGG